This 484-nucleotide ribosomal RNA is filed under the name Papuadytes sp. MB059. RNAcentral's name for it is "partial 16S ribosomal RNA". The stretch from base 361 to 484 matches the Rfam family "Bacterial large subunit ribosomal RNA", at positions 2473 to 2597 of the family's 2925-position model. Lineage: Eukaryota; Metazoa; Arthropoda; Insecta; Coleoptera; Dytiscidae. The record is from RNAcentral.
ACCUGCCCACUGAAAUUUUUUAAAUGGCCGCAGUAAUUUGACUGUGCAAAGGUAGCAUAAUCAUUAGUUUUUUAAUUAAAAGCUUGUAUGAAGGGUUGGACGAAAUAAAAUCUGUCUUUAUUUAAAUAAUAUUAGAAUUUAAUUUUUAAGUUAAAAAGCUUAAAUAUAUAUAAAAGACGAGAAGACCCUAUAGAUCUUUAUAUUAUAUAAAAUAAUUUUAAUUAGGAAUGUUUAAUUUUUUAUUUUAUUUAAUAUUUUAUUGGGGUAAUAAAAAGAUUUAGUUAAUUCUUUUUGAUAUUUUACAUUAAUUAAUGAUUUUAUGAUCCAAAAUUUUUGAUUAUAAGAUUAAGUUACCUUAGGGAUAACAGCGUAAUUUUUUUAGAGAGUUCAUAUCGAUAAAAAAGUUUGCGACCUCGAUGUUGGAUUAAAAAUUGUUUUAGGCGUAGGAGUUUAGAAAUUUGGUCUGUUCGACCAUUAAAUUUUU